This is an RNA transcript of Sitodiplosis mosellana (orange wheat blossom midge), 3027 nucleotides long. It is a transcript of the gene named V-type proton ATPase subunit E, with no coding region annotated. Lineage: Eukaryota; Metazoa; Arthropoda; Insecta; Diptera; Cecidomyiidae. The record is from RefSeq and is a predicted model, not a curated record. The transcript is spliced from 6 exons.
UUGUGCAAUGGAAAUUCGGUUGGCCAGAUGUGUCAUAUUUGUUUGGUUAUUAAAUUUAAAUUGUUUUUUUCUGCAUUGUUCCAUCGUAACAACAUCUGGUUUUGCUAAAUUGUUUGAAAAAUAUUCGAUUCCGAAGUCCAAUAGUAAUUCAUAAAAUAACUCGUUCUUUAUUCUUAAGGAAAAAAAAUCGAAUUCUCAAAUAUAUUAUCUUCAAUAUUAAUCAUUCAAUGCUCUCAGAAAUAUUUCUCAAUUUCAAAACUUGCUUUAAACAAAAUUUCAAUUAUCUAAAAAUUAAUUUAAAACAUUGUUUUUGAUUUAAAACCAAACUAUGGAUGUAUAUGGACUUGAAAUUGGCUCGAUUUCGAAAAUUACAACCCUCCCUUGUUGGUAGUAUUGAUCAGCUGCAGAUGCCAGAUGUUCGAAUUCGAUAUCGAAUUAUUUUCGACGAUAGUCAUAUGACUUAUCAAAGUAUUUUCUCAUUGAUAUUUUCCAUUUCGAUUCAAACAAGAGCAAAGACUUGAGAAGUCAGUCUGCUGUGCAUUACUAGUGAAACUUCUCUCGACAUUUUUUCCAUUUAUCCUUUCUUUUCGUUUUUCCCGAAUAAAAAAACACUCCAACAAAAUGGCACUCAGCGACGCUGACGUUCAAAAACAAAUCAAGCAUAUGAUGGCUUUUAUCGAGCAAGAGGCCAACGAAAAAGCCGAAGAAAUCGAUGCCAAAGCUGAGGAAGAAUUCAACAUCGAAAAAGGACGUUUGGUUCAACAGCAACGCCUUAAGAUCAUGGAAUAUUACGAGAAGAAAGAAAAACAAGUGGAAUUACAGAAGAAAAUUCAAUCAUCGAAUAUGUUGAAUCAAGCUCGUCUCAAGGUGUUGAAGGUUCGAGAAGACCAUGUUCGUAGUGUAUUGGAUGAAGCGCGUCGUCGCUUAGGCGAAGUAACCAAGGAUCCAGCCAAGUACCAAGAAGUCUUGCAAAAAUUGAUCGUUCAAGGUUUAUUCCAAAUUAUGGAACCCAAGGCAACGAUCAAAAGUCGUCAAGUCGACCAGGUAUUAAUUGAAAAACUCUUGCCGACUGCAUUGCAACAAUACAAAGAAAAAAUUGGCAAAGAGGUUGCUAUUACACUGGACAAGGAGAGCUUCCUACCAGCUGACACUUGUGGUGGCGUUGAAUUGCACGCCUUGAACGGUCGUAUUCGGGUACCAAACACCCUAGAGGCUCGUUUGGAAUUGAUUUCACAGCAGUUGGUUCCAGAAAUUCGUACUGCAUUAUUUGGACGCAACGUGAAUCGUAAAUUCACCGACUAAAUACACUGUUAUUCGCUGUUCAGUACAUUCUUUUUGUUCGUUUGUUAAAUUGUUUAUUUGCAAAAAAAACUUGAAUAGAAAUUAUCCCACACAAGCUAUUAUACACUUUAUAAAAUAGAUCUAAUUAAUCGAAAAUAUCACAUUCCUCCGAUGUAAUAAACAAGAAGAAAACAAUGCGCCAGCGCUUCACAAAAUUCAUUGGUACCAAACAAGUGAAUUUUCGAUAAAAAAAAUCAAUUCAAUACUACCAAAUUCCAGUUUAAUCCCAGCGAUCCGAUUAAAUCCAAUCCAAAGUAAAUACUGUUCAAUUGAAUUAUCCACCUUAAUUACCAUUUUGUUCUGGGAAUGUUAGGAAAGAAACACUUGAAAAUAACAGUUAGUAAGAGAAUUCAACUUUAAACUUGCGGUUUACUAUGCUGCACAUCAGUAAGAUAAAUAAUUAUUAUGCAUAUAAAAAUAUUUGAAAAUGAAAGAUAAAUAGAAUUAUAUAAUGAAUGAAUAUGCCAUACAUGGCAAUUACUACACUAAUAUUUACUUUAGUGAUUCUACUAACCACUUCAUUUCAAUCCCUUGACAGAUUUAGAUAACGCAUUAGUUUCAGUUUGGUUUCUUGUGUUAUAAUUUUUCCUUUUUCAAAAUUAAAAUGUGGUAUCUUAGAGUUUUGAAUUUCAUCAAUGGCCAUGAUCAUUGUACGUGUAGUUUCGACAAAAACAACCGCAAAAAUACUGAGACAUCGGAUGAAUCUUCUUUGGCGCUAUCAUUAAUUCAACGAGAUUCUAGUUGAAACUAAUUGAACUUUCUUUCAUUGCCUGUCAGCAUCAUUUUCUGCUUUCUUUACACCAAAUUAUAAGCACAUAGUAUUCACGCGUUUAUGGAUAAAAAUCCAUAGAUAACAAUCUGAACGAUCCAAGAUAUCUUCGGCGUGUGCUCUAAAAUUUGCUGCAUUGAUGAGCGUAAUUACCCUUUGGCAAUGAAUUUGAAUUUAAUUGAAGUAAUGUUGUAUUGGCAUGCAAAAAAAUGAAAAAAAAGUGUUAUUUUUUAUUCUUUGUAACAACAAAUGUUAGCUGUGUCUCCUUUUGGUUCAUCGAUAGAACAGCAUACAUCCCCUGACUGAAUUGAUUGAUGUGGAAAAAUAUUUUUGAAAAAUGCUUAUAUAUCUCGAUGAAUGGAUGGUAUGGCAAAGAAGUUAUUAAUUUACAAACAACAAAUGUUGCUGUCGACAAAAACACUACAAUCACUUUUUGUAUUGUUUUUCUUAAAACCAGUUUUUAAUUGUGUUUUUGUAAAUAUUUCUCAUGUAAAAUUUAAUGGCCAAAUAUUUUAUCUUCGAUGUGCAAAAAAUACCAGUUUUCCCCAUUUCGGUCGUCCUCAUGCAUAAUUGUAAAUUCAAAUGAGAAACAAUAUAAACGUUGAUCAUGUUAAAUAAAUUUCGGAUGAAAAUAGCAAUUCGAAAUGAAAGUCUUUCUUUUAACUGCUUUUCCUAUUUCAAAUUGAAUUAUGGUUUUUCUAGUGCAUAUUGAUUUCAUUUUUAAGUCAGUGACCACAAUUUUAUGAAGGUCUGAGUCACGCAAUGCAAACAUAUGACAAAUUUUGAACAAAAACAAACAGCAGCAAAGCAGAUAUCACCAAAAUUUAUGAUUUAUUCUGAAGAAAAACUAUAACCGCUAAAUGUAAAUAUGUGUGAAUUUAUUAGAAAAUCCAAAUAAAAAUCUUUAAGAAACAUCA